Aptenodytes forsteri (emperor penguin) is the source of this 1093-nucleotide long non-coding RNA. RefSeq lists it as uncharacterized. The record is from RefSeq and is a predicted model, not a curated record. The transcript is spliced from 2 exons. Lineage: Eukaryota; Metazoa; Chordata; Aves; Sphenisciformes; Spheniscidae.
UCACAAACACGGAAUGGUAACCCGUACAAGGUGUGGUUUGCCCGGAGGUAGUACUGAAGGCAUCGGUGUCUAGUAUCCAAAGUACUACUCUGUUCAGAAAGGAAAACCUGUGUUCAGUGGAUGUUUUUAGGGUUGAUUUUAUGUUUAUCGAAUCACUGUGUAAAAAUUCCAGUUGGAGCUUGGAUGGAAUACUCCUAUCUGUAUGGUUGGUUACCAUUCAUGAUUCACUGCUAAAUCAGACCUCCGCUGCAAAAAAUGUAAGCCGGAAAGACGCGUGUGUGCACAUGCAUACAUACACCUCUGAACAUACGGGGUUAAUUUCAUAUACAGCCUCACAUACCACAGCAAAAACAGCUUGAAAAAUUUGGCAAUAAUACACAUACAGGUACCAGCAAUAUGUAAAUAUAGAGCAUAGGUUGUUCACAAUACACUAGUACAUUUCUAUUGUUCAGCAAAAGUUUGUUUCCAAGUGAAAUAGGAAACUAAAUUUUCAUCCUUUCUUAAAUCUCUUUUUGAAUGUUAUAUCUAUUAAAAAAAGAUACUAUAUUCAGUACUUUGGAGUAAAACAUCAUCUUUAAUAAAAAAAAAAGUAAUCAUUCUCUUCUCUUUGAAUGAUCUGUAAAGAAUAUGUACAUUUUGUAGCAGUUAAGGUAAAGUUCAGUAUUUUAAUUAUAACUUUCAACCCAACUCACUGAAAAUACUCACGCAACCCCUUCGAGAUACAGAUAGGAGUUUCAUACUGUUUGGUUUCAGGUGGGCUCUUGAGUUAAAAGGAAAACUGUUCUUACUUUAGAGAAUGUUUUUAAAAAUUGCAUCCCCAGAUACCUCAAUUUGAGCUUGUGUGAAAGAGUGAGUGUGUGCGUGGGUGCGCGUGGGUGCACGUCUGCAAACCUUUGUGCAUUUGUAUGCACAAAGAUACAAAACUUUUUUUUUUUUUUUUUUUUUGCCAGCAGAAAAGUAACUGCAGUGAACACAAACAAAUUAUCACCUUGAGAGAACUGGUAACAUAGGAGAAGAGAGGCUCUCUACCCCCCUUUUGUCUAUAUGCCUGUAUAUUCAUUUUCAGUUUAUGGAUUUAAGGAAAAAAAAAAAA